GAUGAACGUUAGCGGCAGGCCUAAUACAUGCAAGUCGAACGGUAAGGCCCUUUCGGGGUACGACGAGUGGCGGACGGGUGCGUAACGCGUAUGCAACAUGCCUUCCAGCGGGGGAGUAUACCAGGGAAACGUUGGCGCAAUACCCCACUAGAAUUACGGACCGCAUGGUCUUGUGAUUAAAACUCCGGUGCUGGGAGAUUGGCAUGCGUGACAUUAGCUAGUUGGCGGGGUAACGGCCCACCAAGGCGACGAUGUCUAGCUGGUCUGAGAGGAUGAUCAGCCACACUGGGACUGAGACACGGCCCAGACUCCUACGGGAGGCAGCAGUAGGGAAUAUUGGACAAUGGGCGAAAGCCUGAUCCAGCAAUGCCGCGUGAGUGAUGAAGGCCUUAGGGUUGUAAAGCUCUUUUACCAGGGAGUNACAAUGACAGUACCUGGAGAAUAAGCUCCGGCUAACUCCGUGCCAGCAGCCGUCGGUAAUGUGACU
Molecule: ribosomal RNA, 487 nt
Filed under: uncultured bacterium
Lineage: Bacteria
Description: bacterial SSU rRNA
Rfam family: Bacterial small subunit ribosomal RNA
Source: RNAcentral